This 341-nucleotide unclassified non-coding RNA is filed under the name soil metagenome. RNAcentral's name for it is "partial contains 5.8S ribosomal RNA, internal transcribed spacer 2, and large subunit ribosomal RNA". The stretch from base 1 to 120 matches the Rfam family "5.8S ribosomal RNA", at positions 35 to 154 of the family's 154-position model. The record is from RNAcentral.
GAUGAAGAACGUAGCGAAAUGCGAUAAGUAGUGUGAAUUGCAGAAUUCAGUGAAUCAUCGAAUCUUUGAACGCACAUUGCGCCCUUUGGUAUUCCAAAGGGCAUGCCUGUUCGUGCGUCAUUUGUACCCUCAAGCUUUGCUUGGUGUUGGGCGUCUUGUCUCUAGCUUUGCUGGAGACUCGCCUUAAAGUAAUUGGCAGCCGGCCUACUGGUUUCGGAGCGCAGCACAAGUCGCACUCUCUAUCAGCAAAGGUCUAGCAUCCACUAAGCCUUUUUUUCAACUUUUGACCUCGGAUCAGGUAGGGAUACCCGCUGAACUUAAGCAUAUCAAUAAGCGGAGGA